GCGCCGGUCAGCAAGUCACCGGGAACCGGUCCCGACCGCGCCAGCUCUUCCACAUCCACAGUCCGCUGCCGUGAAGGCAUUUCGCCACGCGGGCAGCAAAGGGUCCGGCCCCGCACACCGACACAAACAGUUAAAGAGUUGGAGAUCCGUGUGCGUUCUGAACGUUUUUGCAUGGAAGCGUGCGGACGCGCGGGCGCAGCGGAGGACGAGAGAAGAAGUAGUUCCCCGACGCAUGGACACCGGACGCCAGAGGGAAGGAAUAGGGAGAACCUGAGGAGUUGCGGGCCCGGCACCAGUUGUAGGCCUCGGACCCAUCUCCGGAGUGUCAUUUGUCUGUAAUGAGUCUGGAAGCUGCACUUCAAGUGGCCAUGGAACAUGAUCUGAGGACGGGCCUGUCUGUGUGGGCCAUUAUAGCCAUUGUUUGUAACUCUGUGGUGGGUGUCCUCAUCCUCAUCCUCUUCGUCAUCCUCUACAAGGCCUGCAAAGUGCCUUCCCACCAAGAGAAAGUGCCAGUUUUCACAGCAGUGCCGCUGAGGAAGAUGCCUGAACAGAAAUACCUACUGACUGCCGCCUGAGCACGAAGGACAUUGGAAUGGUGAUUUAUUUGAGCUUUAGUCAUCUUAUAGCAACUAAACGUUUACUCACUAUUCACUCUCCGGAUGAGCGUCUGCGUCAGCUCUCUGAACCCUAAGUGUUCUUCUACAUUUUCUUUCUCUCAUCACUUACAGUCAUGAUUUGCUCUUUGUGUUUCACAUGAACGUGCAUGUUCACAUUUCUCCAUCAGCUUCUCAUCUGCGCCACUUGGCUCAGAGGUAGCAAACUGCAUUAAGAGUUGUGGCAAGUCCAACAGCAACAACAAGCGGGCCCAAUCCUCUUAUCUCUGCUGUGCGGCGCAGGGACAGUCCAUCUGUCAGUUUGCUUUGCUCUACGCAGGCUGACCGCGAGCUCCCACUAUAGACCUCAGCACCCCCCCACUCCCCCGCCCCAUAUCGCACAACUGAGAGGAUGUGGAAUGGAAACUGCAAAGACACAAUGGAUUGUAUGCAGGUACUUCGGGUUGAUGGGGUUUGGCUUAGAACACCAACAACAUGUUAGAGAUGAAGAGAAAGAAGCAGCAGCAAGCGGCUUAGUUUUUUGCCAGCUGCAUCACUAAUAACAUCAACGACAGAGAACACCAAAGCCUGGACGUCAGCACGAGGAGAAAGACGCUGCCGGAGAAAGUGUGUGAGAGUCACAACGGGGCGGAGAGGGAGACGGGCGGAGAGAGAACGGGCACAUUUAUCUCAGAGAAUGAUGAAGUUCAAGAAUCGAAGAGGGGAUGCUUUGAUGUGUUUGUUUUACAGAAAGGGAGCUCAAGGACCUGGUUUGACAGUUUCCCUUUUUGACACACAAGCUUUCACCAAUCCAACUCCCAUAGGAUUAAAAGCCGCAGCAAAAAUGUUCCUCGUGUCCCAGAGUGCCUCUCUCUCAUUUUAUGAUCUCCUGAAUAGGAUAUUUAUACACAGCCUUUACCAGAAAUGGCAGACUUACUGAACACUGACAGACUCACAAUAGUGAGUAUUGGUUUUAUUGUAGUGAAUAUAUUGCAACACAAUUUGCUGCUCAAUGUUAAUAUUCUCUAAUGGAUGGAAGAGAGACUAUGUUACAAAGCAUGUAUCUCAGCGUCAUCAGAAUAAAGUCGGCUGCAUACCUCUGUAUAUGUUUGUUUUUAAUAGUAGAUCCAAUGAUCCAAAGUCUAAUAUAGUAUACAGUUAACUUGCUAAAACAAUAAUAUGCCUUUUCCAUUUUCUGUUCGAUUAGAUGAUAUUAUUCUGUCCGGCUUAUAUGUAGACCUAAUAAUUACUUACUGAUUUACUUUACUUACUUACUCGUUAGAUAUUUGAUGAAUCAUUUAAAUCACAAUUGGGAUAAAGAAAGAACUUGAAUUUGACUAACAGAAAAACUGCCCAUUAAAACAAUAAUUUGUUGUAAUCCAACACUUUGUGUGCCUUUUGUAAGAGAUGAGUUUCUCUUUUACAGAAUAAUUUGCUGUUGUUUAUAUGCAAGGAGGAUGACAACCAAUGUUUCUCUGCUCCUUACUUGUGUAUUACCAAUAAUAACCCUUUGGCAAACAACAA
Long non-coding RNA from Gasterosteus aculeatus aculeatus (three-spined stickleback), 2117 nucleotides. RefSeq lists it as uncharacterized. The record is from RefSeq and is a predicted model, not a curated record. Lineage: Eukaryota; Metazoa; Chordata; Actinopteri; Perciformes; Gasterosteidae.